AUGGUGGUUUUUACACAUAAUAGUGACAUUGUGUAGACAAGUUUAAAGUAGCUAACAGACCUGGGUUCAAAUACUAUAUGAAAUCAUUUCAAAUAAUUAAUCUGUGCUUGAUUGAUCAUACUUAAUCUGUGCUUGAUUGAUCUUGCUUGGUUUAAUGGAUUAUUAGAAUAGUCCCAAGCACUUCAGGCAGACUAGACUAAAUGCUCAUGUCAUUAAAAGAUUUCAAAUAGUAUUUGAACCCAGGUCUGGUGGGUCGGUAAAAGAUCUCUGUUCUUGCGCUGAUUGCUGAAUACUCUCUGUUGAAGUGAAGUAUCUUCUGAAGGCCUUUAUACACUAGGACAUGAAGGAUUCUGUUUAUUCAGAGGUUUCCUAACCCACCCACUGUCAUCCAACAUCAUCCUGUCCAAUCAGGUGUCCUAACCCACCCACUGUCAUCCAACAUCAUCCUGUCCAAUCAGGUUUCCUAACCCACCCACUGUCAUCCAACAUCAUCCUGUCCAAUCAGGUUUCCUAACCCACCCACUGUCAUCCAACAUCAUCCUGUCCAAUCAGGUUUCCUAACCCACCCACUGUCAUCCAACAUCAUCCUGUCCAAUCAGGUUUCCUAACCCACCCACUGUCAUCCAACAUCAUCCUGUCCAAUCAGGUUUCCUAACCCACCCACUGUCAUCCAACAUCAUCCUGUCCAAUCAGGUUUCCUAACCCACCCACUGUCAUCCAACAUCAUCCUGUCCAAUCAGGUUUCCUAACCCACCCACUGUCAUCCAACAUCAUCCUGUCCAAUCAGGUUUCCUAACCCACCCACUGUCAUCCAACAUCAUCCUGUCCAAUCAGGUUUCCUAACCCACCCACUGUCAUCCAACAUCAUCCUGUCCAAUCAGGUUUCCUAACCCACCCACUGUCAUCCAACAUCAUCCUGUCCAAUCAGGUUUCCUAACCCACCCACUGUCAUCCAACAUCAUCCUGUCCAAUCAGGUUUCCUAACCCACCCACUGUCAUCCAACAUCAUCCUGUCCAAUCAGGUUUCCUAACCCACCCACUGUCAUCCAACAUCAUCCUGUCCAAUCAGGUUUCCUAACCCACCCACUGUCAUCCAACAUCAUCCUGUCCAAUCAGAUUUCCUAACCCACCCACUGUCAUCCAACAU
Long non-coding RNA from Oncorhynchus keta (chum salmon), 1147 nucleotides. RefSeq lists it as uncharacterized. The record is from RefSeq and is a predicted model, not a curated record. The transcript has 3 exons. Lineage: Eukaryota; Metazoa; Chordata; Actinopteri; Salmoniformes; Salmonidae.